RNAcentral lists this ribosomal RNA (474 nucleotides) under uncultured bacterium. Its description in RNAcentral is "bacterial SSU rRNA". It matches the Rfam family "Bacterial small subunit ribosomal RNA", at positions 29 to 524 of the family's 1533-position model. The record is from RNAcentral.
AUUGAACGCUGGCGGCAUGCCUUACACAUGCAAGUCGAACGGCAGCACGGGGGCAACCCUGGUGGCGAGUGGCGAACGGGUGAGUAACACAUCGGAACGUGCCCAGUAGUGGGGGAUAGCUCGGCGAAAGCCGGAUUAAUACCGCAUACGACCUACGGGUGAAAGCGGGGGAUCGCAAGACCUCGCGCUAUUGGAGCGGCCGAUGUCAGAUUAGGUUGUUGGUGGGGUAAAGGCCACCAAGCCGACGAUCUGUAGCUGGUCUGAGAGGACGACCAGCCACACUGGGACUGAGACACGGCCCAGACUCCUACGGGAGGCAGCAGUGGGGAAUUUUGGACAAUGGGGGCAACCCUGAUCCAGCAAUGCCGCGUGAGUGAAGAAGGCCUUAGGGUUGUAAAGCUCUUUCGGCGGGGAAGAUGAUGACGGUACCCGCAGAAGAAGCCCGGCUAACUUCGUGCCAGCCGCCGCCGUAAC